CCUUGAUGAAAAGAGUCGGUCAGAGAGACGUCUAGUUUGUUUGUGUUUGCCGACUGCUUUGAUGUGAUGAUAUGUGAAUUUACGUGACUGAUUGAUUAUGUGAUUUCUGUGACGUGUGUCAUUAUGACCAAGUUAUUAUGAUUUUUAUUUGAGACCUUAGCACUUGGAAUUUUGAUUAAGUUUCCAAAGCAAAUGCGGUUUAUUUUUACCGAGAAAUCGAAGGAUGCCGGUUUAUGGAGAUUUUUUUCCAAGCAUAAUUUUUUUUUAAAUUAUUUUUCCUACGAAGAGGAAUAUUAUAAUUGAGAGAGUGCACAAGUAUUAGUGCUAUAAUUAUUUUAUUUGAUCACAUGAAUAAUUAUGCCAUGGUAUUUUAUUAAUGAGUAAUAUUUCCAUAAAUUUUGUGAUUAUUAUUUAAUCACCCUUCUCACACUAUUAUUUAAUUUCCCAAGCAUGUGCCUAAAUACCACAAAUUGCCAAGUGAGAGUGUAGAGAUUGAGAGUGUAGAGAUUAGAGAGAGAGAGACUAAGGCAUUAAUUGCCAAAUAUUUGAUAAGAUUCACAAAUCUUUAAAAGAUUAGCCAAAUCCUCACAAAUCUUGCAAGCCAAUUCUCUCUCUUCUCCACCCCAUUUUCGGUCAUCUCUCUCUCCCCUUCAUCUCUCAUUUCCUCCAUUGUCAACCAUUGGAGAGACCUUCGGAGCUUCCAAAAAAUUAUACAAAACACAUCAAUCCACUCCAAAAUCUUGCCUAAACACCUUCAAUCUCCUUGGAUUCAAGAAGAUCAUUGAAGAUUGGCUUCAAGGCUAGAGAGAGAAAGUUUGAUUGUUGGUGUAAAGUUUGGACACGAGCAGAGCAAGGAAGUAAGUAACUCCGCUUUGACGGGAGAUUUUGAGUAAGGUCUUCAGGCUAAGCGGGGAGCGAGAUUGGUCUGGUGCUGGUGGGGAACCGUUUCAAUCGAUGUGAUCAUAUUUAAUAUUGCUGUUAUGAUUGAUAGAGUCUUGAUGAUUAAAAAUACUUCGUUUCCUUUCGAAUCAAGUAAUAUACUCACGGUUAUGUGUCUUCAUACAUAUAAUCGGUUCGCCUUUUGCUGCGAUAUUCUGC
Molecule: long non-coding RNA, 1098 nt
Organism: Salvia miltiorrhiza (redroot sage)
Lineage: Eukaryota; Viridiplantae; Streptophyta; Magnoliopsida; Lamiales; Lamiaceae
Exons: 3
Source: RefSeq, a predicted model, not a curated record